UGGGGUAUCGCCAAGCGGUAAGGCAACGGCUUUUGGUGCCGUCAUUCGAAGGUUCGAAUCCUUCUACCCCAUCCA
Molecule: transfer RNA, 75 nt
Filed under: Arcobacter sp.
Lineage: Bacteria; Pseudomonadati; Campylobacterota; Epsilonproteobacteria; Campylobacterales; Arcobacteraceae
Also listed under: 1 other name
Description: tRNA-Gln
Rfam family: tRNA
About the family: Transfer RNA (tRNA) molecules are approximately 80 nucleotides in length.
Source: RNAcentral